Molecule: ribosomal RNA, 433 nt
Filed under: uncultured bacterium
Lineage: Bacteria
Description: partial 16S ribosomal RNA
Rfam family: Bacterial small subunit ribosomal RNA
Source: RNAcentral
AGCGAACGCUGGCGGCAGGCUUAACACAUGCAAGUCGAGCGGGCACUUCGGUGUCAGCGGCAGACGGGUGAGUAACACGUGGGAACGUACCCUUCGGUUCGGAAUAACGCUGGGAAACUAGCGCUAAUACCGGAUACGCCCUUUUGGGGAAAGGUUUACUGCCGCAGGAUCGGCCCGCGUCUGAUUAGCUAGUUGGUGGGGUAAUGGCCUACCAAGGCGACGAUCAGUGGCUGGUCUGAGAGGAUGAUCAGCCACACUGGGACUGAGACACGGCCCAGACUCCUACGGGAGGCAGCAGUGGGGAAUAUAGGACACUGGGCGCAAGCCUGAUCCAGCCAUGCCGCGUGAGUGAUGAAGGCCUUAGGGUUGUAAAGCUCUUUUGUCCGGGACGAUAAUGACGGUACCGGAAGAAUAAGCCCCGGCUAACUUCGUG